AGGGGGUUAGCUCAGUUGGUAGAGCAGCGGACUCCAAAUCCGCAGGCCGAGGGUUCGAGUCCCCCACCCCCUGC
RNAcentral lists this transfer RNA (74 nucleotides) under Nannocystis exedens. RNAcentral describes it as "tRNA-Trp". It matches the Rfam family "tRNA". From Rfam's summary of the family: Transfer RNA (tRNA) molecules are approximately 80 nucleotides in length. Their secondary structure includes four short double-helical elements and three loops (D, anti-codon, and T loops). Further hydrogen bonds mediate the characteristic L-shaped molecular structure. tRNAs have two regions of fundamental functional importance: the anti-codon, which is responsible for specific mRNA codon recognition, and the 3' end, to which the tRNAs corresponding amino acid is attached (by aminoacyl-tRNA synthetases). tRNAs cope with the degeneracy of the genetic code in two manners: having more than one tRNA (with a specific anti-codon) for a particular amino acid; and 'wobble' base-pairing, i.e. permitting non-standard base-pairing at the 3rd anti-codon position. Lineage: Bacteria; Pseudomonadati; Myxococcota; Nannocystales; Nannocystaceae. The record is from RNAcentral.